This 797-nucleotide ribosomal RNA is filed under the name uncultured archaeon. RNAcentral's name for it is "bacterial SSU rRNA". It matches the Rfam family "Archaeal small subunit ribosomal RNA", at positions 85 to 879 of the family's 1478-position model. The record is from RNAcentral.
ACGGCUCAGUAACCACGUGGACAACCUACCCUGAGGUCGGGGAUAAACCCGGGAAACUGGGUAUAAUACCCCGAUAGAUCUAGAUCGCUGGAAUGCUUUUAGGUCUAAAGUUCCGACGCCUCAGGAUGGGUCUGCGGCCUAUCAGGGUAGUAGUGGGUGUAAAGUACCUACUAGCCCACGACGGGUACGGGUUGUGAGAGCAAGAGCCCGGAGAUGGAUUCUGAGACACGAAUCCAGGCCCUACGGGGUGCAGCAGGCGCGAAACCUUUACAAUGCUGGCAACAGCGAUAAGGGGACCUCGAGUGCUACGAUACAAUCGUGGCUGUCUAGUUGCCUAAAAAGCAAUUGAUAGCAAGGGCCGGGCAAGACCGGUGCCAGCCGCCGCGGUAACACCGGCGGCUCGAGUGGUAACCGCUAUUAUUGGGUCUAAAGGGUCUGUAGCCGGCUUAGUUAGUCUCUUGAGAAAUCUGGCCGCUCAACGGUCAGGCGUUCAGGGGAUACUGCUAAAGCUCGAGACCGGGAGAGGUGAGAGGUACUUCAGGGGUAGGGGUGAAAUCUUGUAAUCCUUGAAGGACCACCAGUGGCGAAGGCGUCUCACCAGAACGGAUCUGACGGCAAGGGACGAAAGCUAGGGGCACGAACCGGAUUAGAUACCUGGGUAGUCCUAGCCGUAAACGAUACUCGCUAGGUGUCGGCCACGGUGCGACCGUGGUCGGUGCCGUAGGGAAGCCGUGAAGCGAGCCACCUGGGAAGUACGGCCGCAAGGCUGAAACUUAAAGGAAUUGGCGGGGGAGAAU